AUGAAUCUCCUAACAGGGGCCAUGGGCUCGCUCCUCCCCAAGCUUGGCGAGCUCCUCAAGGAGGAGUACAAGCUGCAGAAGAGGGUGAAGAAAGACGUGGCUUCUCUCUCAAACGAGAUGAUGAGCAUGCAUGCUGCCCUGCACAAGGUGGCCGGAGUUCCGCUGGAGCAGCUCGACGAGCAGGUCAAGCUCUGGGUGAGUGACGUCAGGGACUUGUCCUACCACAUGGAGGAUGUGGUUGAUCGCUUCCUGGUGCGUGUGGAAGGCUUCGAGCCCGCCGCCAACUCCGCUGGCCUGAAGCUGCUCGUGAACAAGAUAUCCACCUUGUUCACCAAAGGCAAAACACGGCGUCGCAUCGCCGAUGCCAUCAAGGACAUCAAGGAGAAAAUGCAGGACGUGGCUGCCCGGCGUGACAGGUAUAGAGUCGAUGGUCUCGUUGUGAAUGUAGCCGCGACGACAACUCUCAAUCCUCGUCUAUCAGCUCUUUACAACAAGGUUACCGACCUUGUGUGCAUCGAUGAGCCGAGGGACGAGCUGAUCAAGAGGUUGACAGAUGAAAAAAAUCCAACGGAGGUAGUCUCCAUUGUUGGAUUUGGUGGUUUGGGCAAGACAACUCUGGCCGAAGCUGUCUACGACAGCCUCAAGUCACAAUUCCAAUGUGCAGCCUUCGUUUCCCUGUCUCAGAAUCCUGUUAUAACAAGGAUUCUCAAAAAGAUGCUACAUCAGCUUGAUCAGCAAAAAUAUGUUCAUAUCAAUGAAGCGUCAUGGGAUGAAACACAACUUAUCGAUGAAAUCAGAAUGUUCCUUAGCAACAAGAGGUACCUCAUUGUUAUUGAUGACAUAUGGAAGAUACAAUCAUGGCAAAUAAUCAAAUGUGCUUUGAAUGAGAAUAGUUGUGCAAACAGAAUAAUAAUCACAACAACUCCUGACUUUGAUAUUGCUACAAAAGUUGGUGGUUCUUUUAAGCUAGAUCCCCUUACCCUACAGAGCUCUCAACUAUUGUUCUAUGGAAGAAUAUUUGGCUCUAAGGGUAAAUGUCCUGAACAAUUGGCUAAAGUAUCUUUGGGGAUUUUGAAAAAAUGUGGCGGUAUACCAUUUGCUAUCAUUACCGUGUCUAGUCUAUUGGAUCAACCUAGUAAAAUGGUAAAUCCAAGGGAGUGGAAUGAGGUAUGUGACUCUAUUGGUUCUGGACAUGGAAAUAGUCCCGAUGUGGAGACCAUGAGGAAAAUAUUGGCCCUAAGUUAUUAUAACCUACCUUUCCAUCUGAGGACAUGUCUAUUGUAUCUGAGUAUAUAUCCAGAAGAUCAUGAGAUACAUAGAGAUGAUUUGAUAUGGAAAUGGAUCACCGAAGGUUUUAUCCAACAUCAAAUUAAGGAUGGUAGCUUAUUUGACGUUGGGCACAGUUACUUCACUGAGCUUGUGAACAAAGGUAUGAUCCAGCCAUGCAUAGAUUUUAAAGGUUGUCAUUUGCAUGAUAUGGUGCUUGAGCUCAUCUGUUGCUUGUCCAAUCAAGAAAACUUUGUUACUGUACUGGAUCAGAAUGAGGAUAUAAUGUCUUCUGAAAGGAAUGUUCGAAGGCUAUCCCUCCAAAGUAAGAAGGAAGAUCAUCAAACCUCAUCUCUUUCUUCCAUGAGUUUAUCACAAGUGAGGUCCAUUACUAUCUUUGAGCCUGCUACUAAUCUAAUGCCACCUCUUCCGAGCUUUGAUGUUUUGCGCGUAUUGGAUUUAAGUGGUUGUCACCUUGGGGAAAGUAGCCAUAGCCCAUAA
This 1767-nucleotide ribosomal RNA is filed under the name Triticum aestivum (bread wheat). Its description in RNAcentral is "partial small subunit ribosomal RNA". The record is from RNAcentral. Lineage: Eukaryota; Viridiplantae; Streptophyta; Magnoliopsida; Poales; Poaceae.